AUACGUAGGGUGCGAGCGUUGAUCGGAAUUACUGGGCGUAAAGAGCUCGUAGGCGGUUUGUCGCGUCGUCUGUGAAAUUCCGGGGCUUAACUCCGGGCGGGCAGGCGAUACGGGCAUAACUUGAGUACUGUAGGGGAGACUGGAAUUCCUGGUGUAGAGGUGAAAUGCGCAGAUAUCAGGAGGAACACCGGUGGCGAAGGCGGGUCUCUGGGCAGUAACUGACUGUGAGGAGCGAAAGCAUGGGUAGCGAACAGGAUGAGAUACCCUGGUAGUCCAUGCCUAAAACGUGGGGCGCUAGGUGUAGGGGUCUUCCACGAUUCCUGUGCCGUAGCUAACGCAUUAAGCGCCCCGCCUGGGGAGUACGGCCGCAAGGCUAAAACUCAAAUGAAUUGGCGGGG
This 398-nucleotide ribosomal RNA is filed under the name uncultured bacterium. RNAcentral describes it as "partial 16S ribosomal RNA". It matches the Rfam family "Bacterial small subunit ribosomal RNA", at positions 523 to 918 of the family's 1533-position model. The record is from RNAcentral.